This 207-nucleotide ribosomal RNA is filed under the name uncultured Chlamydiales bacterium. RNAcentral's name for it is "partial 16S ribosomal RNA". It matches the Rfam family "Bacterial small subunit ribosomal RNA", at positions 306 to 505 of the family's 1533-position model. Lineage: Bacteria; Pseudomonadati; Chlamydiota; Chlamydiia; Chlamydiales. The record is from RNAcentral.
CUCAACACUGGGACUGAGAACUGCCCAGACUCCUACGGGAGGCUGCUAGUCGAGAAUCAUUCGCAAUGGGCGCAAGCCUGACGAUGCGACGCCGUGUGAGCGAUGAAGGCCUUCGGGUUGUAAAGCUCUUUCGCUUGGGAACAAGAGAGGGUGACUAAUAAUCAUCUAAUUUGAGGGUACCAGGGAAAGAAGCACCGGCUAACUCCA